UCUAGAGUAAUCAAAGCCCAAGCACCAAUCAGUCAUUACAAAAUAAUAAUAAUAAUAAUUAAUAAAUAAAUAAAUAAAUCACAGAAAAACCUCAGACCUGGCAACACAGCUUCAUGUUUAUUUUUAUUUUUAUUUUUGCUUCACUAUGGCAGUGACACUGAUGUCAGAGGGACACUACUGCCACCUAUUGAGGUGGAGAGGGAAGUUAGAUAAAUUGCCCCUAGGUGGCAGCACAGGUAUUCUCAAACUACUCUCAAAGCCUGCAAUAUCCUGUAGAGUCUAUAAUCUAAUCACACUACUGACUUGUAAUCUCGAAACUUUUUUUUUUUUUUUUUUUAAAUUCUCCUUCAAGAUCUUGUAAUUUCUUAGUAAUAGAAAGGAACAGGAGUAUUGCCUUUCAAAUUGAGUUAAUAUGAGAUGUUGGUUUUUGCUGUGUGCAACAGUUGCAUUUGAUAUGGUAAAUAGAUUUAUUUUUUUAAAAUAAAGCAUUGCAAACAUGAUAUUCAGGCAUAUGCAGGCUUAAGUAAAAGGGCCCAAUAAUGUACAGUACAAGAAGUUUAAAUAGUUCACAAAUAUGAGCUUUAAUGCAAAGAUGAGAAUAGCACCAUUACCUUGAAAAAGUCUUACUGUUACAAGUGCAAAAAUGUUAAAUGAAGAGAUGUUUAAGCUGUCAGUUCUGCUCUUUCUAAUUUCCUAGCCCAUUUUGCUUGGUUCACGACUUCAAAAACCAGAAACACUGGACGCAUUGUGUGGCGGUGAAGUUACGUGUAAUAGGACUAUAAAAUAGAAAUGGGAAUUAAAUUAAAAUUGAAACUGUGGCUCUUCCGGACCUGCCUUCUUCAUCCUGAUGCUCUACUUCUGCUGGAUGUUUCCCAUAGAUAUGAUAAAGAUGUUCUCUUCCCCAAAAACAGUUUAUACCCAAGUCUGGCCAUUGCUUCACUAGAUAAUCUCACAUGAAUACAGUAAAUUUGUACCUGCUGUAAUCAUAAAGACUGCUAUGUAGACUCACAAGACUCUUAUUCACAAUAUACUUAUAUGCUUCCACUUCCACAGUUCCACAGAAAUCUAAAUCGACAUUCAGGUUUCUGUAAAGCUGCUAUGUGAAAAUGUCCGUUGUUAAAACUGAUUUUACUUCUGUCUACAUCUGAGACUUCUUGCACCUACACACUAUAUAUACACCCUCUGCCCAUAUGCUGAAUUUCAAUUGGCCCACAUUCUUCAUAUUUUCACAUUAAAUACACAGAUGCAAAUUUGCUAUCACACUUUAUAUCAUGUUGUGAAGCUGAAAUGUGUUGAACUGCUUGUUCAUGACAAGUCUAGAAGAGGAGCAAACAUGGCAUGGUGGUAAUGUUGGUGGUUAUUUCUUGAUGAGCUGUUCCUUUAAGACAGAUCAGACAGAUGAACAUGGUGUGUGAUGUUGCUGUUUUGUCUCAGAGGAGAUACUUGUUUUAGGAUAAACAAGGUUCUGGCAAAUCUGAAAGCAGUGCAUGUAAAUGAAGACAGGCUUUGAUCAAAUGUGGACUGGUAAUGUACAUACUGACUAUUUACCUGAUAAUUAUUUUCUGAUGAAUUUAGAUGCAUGGUAAACAUUUAUAAUAAUAUUGUCUGACAUGUUGGCUUUUUGCCUGGUCAGUAGAAAUCUUUUUAGCUGAUUGUUAUGUCAGAAAAGAUUUCCAACAAAGAGGACAAGGUGAUACACUUAAAUUGUGAUUCUAUAUGUCCAUUCAAAAAUACUUACUUACUGCCUCUUUCUCUGCUUGCCUUUCCUUUAACUGUCCCUAUUUUAAGCAUUCUCCUAUCCCAUAUAACACCCUCUCCAACCUUCUAGCCUCACAACUUAUCCGUGCAUGGAUUUUCUGUCGACUUACCUAGGGAGAUCGAAGACUAAUUAAGAUUGUUAAUGAAGAUUUAAUUUUCCGCUUUCCAACCCAGCAAGCACUUGAAAGAUGCAAAAGAUGCAGUGAAUUUUUAUUUAACAAACAAAACAGUACCGGAUCUGCAGUCUGAUAUUUCUACCACAAAUGUAGCAUUGUAAGUGCUUGAACAUUUCAGCUGUGCUGUUUUACUUUGCUUUACAGAGCAGGACAUCUAGCUUGUAUCAACACCGAUAACCCUCCCUACAGAUGAAACUGCAACACAUUCACAGCAAAUCAUACGUGAUAGCCUGGGGAAUGUCUCUAUGUCAGCUGAAAGGAUCAAAAAGAAUUGGGAAUGCUGAACACCCAGCUACGUAUACACAUGCCUGUCUGCCAUGAUGUGAGUGCAGGACUGUGUGGCCUGCGGUUCUCUCUCACUGCCUUGCUGCAUUAAUUAUUCACCAGGCUAAUUAUGGAGGAUGUGGUUAUCUUCACCUGCUGUAUCUCGGGCAAACUGAACAGCAAGCACACUGCCGGCUUCUUUAGUUCACAUCCCUGAAAAAUGUGGCACUGGUUACAAUUGUACAAGGCGAGAACAAUUUACUUGCAAAAUCUUCAUUGUGCAAAGCUUUUAGUGCCUCAGUGAAUGCAUCUCAUAUAUUAUUGGUGUUCCCUUAUGCCCAUUGCUAGUAUUUAGGAAGAUUUACAGCAUCAUUUCUUUUUAGACCACACAUCCUUUUGUUGAGAAGUGACUUAAAUUGCUUAUAUAACAGUGAAUAGAGGAAACAAUUACCAAAAAUAGUCUUACUCUUCCUGCUGCGUGGGUAAUCUGCUUGGAGCACUUGUGAUUCACUUUCCUACUUGGAUACCAUAAAGUUUUGCAACCCCCCCUCCCCAGAAAAAAAAAAAAAAUUAAACAGCUUAUACCCUUAAUUCAGUGGAUAAUCUCACCUGGAUACUAUAGAUUUGUAGGUAAGAACUGCUACUGUACCCAUACAUAGUGUUCUGUGCUCAUCCCAGGACUUUUAUUCAUGAUAUACAGGAUGUUCAUAUAGAACGUCUUUUCAACACACAGUCAACACAGUCAGAUUUCUUACUCGCCACUGCCACCUCUGGUUUGCUCAUUCGGGAUCUAAAUGUACAUCCGAUUUUUUGAAAAGCUGCUUUGUGAUCAUUUCUAUUGUUAAAAUCAGUGUACAGAUUAAACUGAAUUGAAUAAUCAUGUUCUCCCUAUGUCUGUGUGGGUUUGCUUUAGGUUUUUUGAUUUCUUCCCACUGUCCAAAAACAUGCACGUAGGUGGAAUGGCUGUUACAUUGCCCCUAGGUGUGAAUGUGUGUGUGCAUGUGCGUAUGGUGCCAACUCUUCUGCUCUGCCCACAGUGUUCCUAGGAUUGGCUCCAGAUCCAAUCCACUAUGGCCCUGACACCGGGAUAAAGUGAAGGUGAAGGAAUGAACAAAUAUCUUAUAAUAAGGUCUUACAUAAUACUGUAUGUGCAUUGCUUAAUACUGUAAUCCGUUCACUUUUAUAUACACUAUAAUGCAUGGACAAAGCAUGUAUGUACCUGUCUCUCAAUUACCUCUAAAACUUUCUUGAGUUAUAUCUGUGACUGACUCUAUUUACAUGGAGAGAACAUCUGCAAAACAUCUCCUUUUCGAACAACAUGGGCUUGUAAUUCAUUGGUAAUCUCAGGGCCGUGAGGACUAUAAAAAUGAAUCAUGGGAUAAAAAUGGGACUUUGUGGGACUGCAAAACUGAAACUAUUGAUUGGGAACAUUUUGUGCUACACCCAGCAACACAGCUUUUUCUGUUUUCAAUACACAUUUUUUCUGAGGUUAGAAGGUGCACAGCAAAAUCCGAUUUUUCAGAAUGUUUGGAACAUUUUGAGACAAAUGUAGAUUUUAUGCUUUAUGUCAGGAUGACCCUAUAUAACAGACCUCAGUCUCUAUAUAGAGCCUUCUAUUUUUCAAAUACAUGCAGUGCUGUGAAAAAUUAUUUGCUCCAUCCUGAUUUCUUCUGGUUUUGUGUAUAUUUCAUACUAAAUAGUUUUAGAUUUUCAAACAAAAUACAUAAAAUGAAGGCAACAUGAUUAAACACAAAAUACAGUUUUUAUUGAAGCGCAAAAAAAAAAGCUAUCCAACACCUAUAACCGAUUUGAAAUACUAAUUGCCCCCUUAAAUUUCAAAUCUAGCUGUGUAACGUUUAGCAGCAACCAAACACUUUCGAUGCAGUCUUUCACAGCUCUGUGGUGGACUUUUGGCCCACUCUUCUUUGCAGAACUGCUUUAGUUCAGCCACACUGAAGGGUUUUCGAGCAUGAACUGCCUGUUUAAGGUCCUGCCACAGCAUCUCAAUUGGUUCAAGUCAGGACUUUGACUAGGCCACUCCAAAACCUUAAUUUAGCUUAUUUUUGAGCCAUUCAGUGGUGAUUUACUCCUAUACUUUGGAUAAUUGUCUUGCUGUAUGAUCCAGUUAUGCUUGAGUUUCAACUUAAGGACUAAAGACUGAACAUUCUCCUUUAGGAAAGUAUCCCCACACCAUCACACUUCCACCACCAUGCUUGUCCGUAGGUAUGAUGUUCUUUUUGUGGAAUUCUGUGUUUGUAAUGGUAUCGGGACCCCUGUCUUCCAAAUAGUUCCAGUUUCGAUUCAUCAGUUCACAGAACAUUCUCCCAAAAGAUUUGAGAAUCAUCAAGGUGUAUUUUGGCAAAAUUCAGAUUAGUCUUAAUGUUCUUCUGGGUUAGCAGUGGUUUUUGCCUCGCCACUCUUCCCUGGUUGCCAUUUUUGCCCAGUGUCUUUCUCAUAGUGGAGUCAUGAACAGUGACCUUUAUUGAUGCAAGAGAGGCCUGUAGUUCCUUUCAUGAUGUCCUUGGCUUUUUUGUGAUUUCCUGGAUAGGUCAUUGCUGUGCUCUUGGAGGAAUUUUGGAAGAUCGGACACUUCUGGGAAGGUUCACUUCUGUGCAGAUUUUUUCCAUUUGGAGAUAAUGUCUCUCACUGUGGUACUUUGCAGACCCAGAGUCUUUGAAAUAGCUUUGUAACCCUUCCCAGACUGAUGUAUUUCAAUCACCUUCUUCCUCAUCAUUUCUGGAAUUUCUUUCAAUUUUGGCAUAGUGUGUUACUGGGUAAGACUUUUAACUUCAUGCUGUUAAAAAAUUCUGUUUAAGAUUUGAUUGAACAUAGUUUGCAGUAAUCUGGCAUGGUUGCAUCUAGUCCAGCUGAACCCCAUUAUCAAUGCAGUUUCGAAGUGAAACAAAAUGCAGUCCAAGCAUAACGCUGUUAGACGAACAGUGGGAAGAACAGUGGGUACCAUAAAUAAUCUCAGGAUGGAGCUCGUGCUAGUGCACAACAGUGGACAUGUUAAAAUCACUCAGCUCAACAGUGGCUAUAUGAUGUUGAGAUCCAUCUUUUCACACUGAGGAUGACUGAGGGACUCGUACACAACUAUUACAAAAGAUGCAGUGGCUCCAUCCUGAGAUGCAGUUCCCUCUCUAGAGCUAUUUCCCACCUCACUGGGCCCCAUGUACAAAGCUCCUGGUUCCA
Long non-coding RNA from Ictalurus punctatus (channel catfish), 5390 nucleotides. RefSeq lists it as uncharacterized. Lineage: Eukaryota; Metazoa; Chordata; Actinopteri; Siluriformes; Ictaluridae. The record is from RefSeq and is a predicted model, not a curated record. The transcript is spliced from 3 exons.